RNAcentral lists this transfer RNA (83 nucleotides) under Hyaloperonospora arabidopsidis Emoy2. RNAcentral's name for it is "Hyaloperonospora arabidopsidis tRNA-Arg for anticodon CCG". It matches the Rfam family "tRNA". Rfam says of the family: Transfer RNA (tRNA) molecules are approximately 80 nucleotides in length. The record is from Rfam by way of RNAcentral. Lineage: Eukaryota; Oomycota; Peronosporomycetes; Peronosporales; Peronosporaceae.
GCUCUUAUGGUGUAAUGGUCAGCACUCCGGACUCCGGACUCUGAAUCCAGCGAGCGAUCCGGGUUCAAAUCCCGGUAGGAGCU